Molecule: ribosomal RNA, 253 nt
Filed under: uncultured bacterium
Lineage: Bacteria
Description: partial 16S ribosomal RNA
Rfam family: Bacterial small subunit ribosomal RNA
Source: RNAcentral
UACGAAGGGGGCUAGCGUUACUCGGAAUUACUGGGCGUAAAGGGAGCGUAGGCGGGUUAUCAAGUUGGGGGUGAAAGCCCGGGGCUCAACCUCGGAAUUGCCUUCAAAACUGAUAACCUGGAGUAUGGAAGAGGCAAGUGGAACUCCGAGUGUAGAGGUGAAAUUCGUAGAUAUUCGGAAGAACACCAGUGGCGAAGGCGACUUACUGGUCCAUUACUGACGCUGAGGCUCGAAAGCGUGGGGAGCAAACAGG